AUUGAACGCUGGCGGCAUGCCUAACACAUGCAAGUCGAGCGGAUGAAGGGAGCUUGCUCCUGGAUUCAGCGGCGGACGGGUGAGUAAUGCCUAGGAAUCUGCCUGGUAGUGGGGGAUAACGUCCGGAAACGGGCGCUAAUACCGCAUACGUCCUGAGGGAGAAAGUGGGGGAUCUUCGGACCUCACGCUAUCAGAUGAGCCUAGGUCGGAUUAGCUAGUUGGUGGGGUAAAGGCCUACCAAGGCGACGAUCCGUAACUGGUCUGAGAGGAUGAUCAGUCACACUGGAACUGAGACACGGUCCAGACUCCUACGGGAGGCAGCAGUGGGGAAUAUUGGACAAUGGGCGAAAGCCUGAUCCAGCCAUGCCGCGUGUGUGAAGAAGGUCUUCGGAUUGUAAAGCACUUUAAGUUGGGAGGAAGGGCAGUAAGUUAAUACCUUGCUGUUUUGACGUUACCAACAGAAUAAGCACCGGCUAACUUCGUG
RNAcentral lists this ribosomal RNA (484 nucleotides) under uncultured bacterium. RNAcentral describes it as "partial 16S ribosomal RNA". It matches the Rfam family "Bacterial small subunit ribosomal RNA", at positions 30 to 507 of the family's 1533-position model. The record is from RNAcentral.